This 1681-nucleotide long non-coding RNA is filed under the name Nicotiana benthamiana. Its description in RNAcentral is "long non-coding RNA (NBEN_LNC026522)". The record is from RNAcentral. Lineage: Eukaryota; Viridiplantae; Streptophyta; Magnoliopsida; Solanales; Solanaceae.
GGAGGGCGAUAGAUUUGAUAGUGGAUAAUAAGUAUGCAUGUAACUGGAUUAGUAGCAUUAAGAAGAAUAAAGAAUUAAAAUAUAUAUAUAUGAUUAAAUUAAACUACAACUAUAAUUUCAGGGGUGGACCUAGAAUAGAUGGUGUGAUAGUCCAAUUUUACAUGGUUCUUACCUUUGGCUUAGAUCCUAUAUUUGUGUCAAAAAUUCACCAGAUAAGUACAAAUUAAAGAUUUUGAACCCGACAUUGUGAUAGAAUCCCUAAUUCAAACGCAUUAAGUUCAAAUACUGAUCCGCCUACGCAUAAUUUAACUAACUCAUGAAUAGUCAUAAAUACUUAUAUGCUCUGAAAGACUGAAACUAACGCAUUACCAACAUAGAGGAUCAUAAGAAAAAUAUAUUCUUCAUAGAGCAUUUCUCGUAACUAAAUCCAAAAUUUCAUCCACACACGUGAAAAAACAACUUCAAGGCAUUUUGUUUUCAAUGUUAGAAACUCAGUAAGAACAGUCGAAUUGCCACAACUGAAACCACAGUAUUAAAGAAGAAUAACCCCCUAGCAGUGACCUAGUGGUCUAAGAGUUUGAGUAACAACCUUUGGUCGUACAAAUCCCACAGUCGACACUAGGCCAACUCUUUCAACCUGUGUCAGUUUUUGUGAGCAGAAUUACCCAGUACCUCCACUGAUGGGAGGUAACAAGUAAUCUGUGGAUUAGUCGAGAUGCACACAAGCUAGCUCCAACAUCACCUUCAUAAAGACAAAAAGAAAUACUAUUAAAUGAGAGCAAAAAUAACAUGAUAAUUCAUGCACAACAACCCUCCUAAAUAGGGCUGGCAAAAUGGUUAAAAGAAAACAAUUAUCUACCCAUAUUAUCCAUUAAAAAAUGGGUUGGAUAAUAAAUUUUUAAAAAACGGGUCAAAUAGGGAUAAGAACCAUAUUAUACAUUUAAAAAAUGGAUAAUCAAUAGAUAACCUAUGGAUAACUAGCAGGUGUAACUGUUAUAUUUGUAAAGCCUCAAAUUGGGGGUUCCUCAAGUUUGGAAAGAAGUCAUGAAUAAUAUGGAUAUCCAUAUUAUCCACCAAUUAACCCAUUUUUUAUCCGUAUUAAAUACGGGUUGGGCCGAAUAACUUAUCCAUUUUUACACUACAUGUUUUCAACCCGUCCAUAUCUGACCUGACCCACCCAUUUGCCACCACUACUCCUAAAACACCCAGCAUUCAUAAAAUCAAGAAACUUCUAGGAAAUAAAAUUAAAAAAUUUGUUCUUGUAGUUGUUAAACUGGUCACAUUCACCCAAACUGUCACCCUGUAACAGAAUCGAAGAAUAGCAAACCACUGAAAGCUAAUAGCAAUUCAACCCUACCGAAAAAUAAAUGCGCGCACACACACCAAAAAAAAGGUCAAGGUGAAAUUAACAUUACAUGAAAAUGAAAAAUACCAAAUUCCUACCCACUGCUAUAAAAUAGGAGUGGGUACAGUAGUUCGAGACCCGUGGGUACAAUCUGCACCCACAGCUCUCAAUUUGAACCAGGUAUAUAAUUGAUUUUUUUUCAAUUAAGAAAAAAUAACAAUAAUUUAUAGUGCAUUUAUACAAACUGCAACAAAAUAAUAAUAAUAAUAAUAAUAAUAAUAGUAGUAGUAAGUAUUCUGAACCCACUAAUUCCAAAUAAUAAGACUCUGUUGUUAC